UGGGGAAUAUUGCACAAUGGAGGGAACUCUGAUGCAGCGACGCCGCGUGAGUGAUGAAGGAAUUCGUUUCGUAAAACUCUGUUCUAUGGGAAGAAAAGGACUGUACCAUAGGAGAAAGCUCCGGCUAAAUACGUGCCAGCAGCCGCGGUAAUACGUAUGGAGCGAGCGUUGUCCGGAAUUAUUGGGCGUAAAGGGUGCGCAGGCGGCUUUACAAGUUGAAUGUGAAAUAUUGUGGCUCAACCACAAACGUGCAUCCAAAACUGCAAAGCUUGAGUUAAGGAGAGGUAAGUGGAAUUCCUGGUGUAGCGGUGUAAUGCGUAGAUAUCAGGAGGAAUACCGGUGGCGAAGGCGACUUACCAGACUUAAACUGACGCUCAGGCACGAAAGCGUGGGGAGCAAACAGG
Molecule: ribosomal RNA, 404 nt
Filed under: Fusobacteriota bacterium
Lineage: Bacteria; Fusobacteriati; Fusobacteriota
Description: Fusobacteria bacterium partial 16S ribosomal RNA
Rfam family: Bacterial small subunit ribosomal RNA
Source: RNAcentral